AGAGUUUGAUCAUGGCUCAGAUUGAACGCUGGCGGCAUGCCUUACACAUGCAAGUCGAACGGUAACGGGCCUUCGGGUGCCGACGAGUGGCGAACGGGUGAGUAAUGCAUCGGAACGUACCUUUCAGUGGGGAUAACGUAGCGAAAGUUACGCUAAUACCGCAUAUUCUGUGAGCAGGAAAGCAGGGGAUCGCAAGACCUUGUGCUGAUUGAGCGGCCGAUGUCAGAUUAGCUAGUUGGUGAGGUAAAGGCUCACCAAGGCGACGAUCUGUAGCGGGGUCUGAGAGGAUGAUCCGCCACACUGGAACUGAGACACGGUCCAGACUCCUACGGGAGGCAGCAGUGGGGAAUUUUGGACAAUGGGGCAACCCUGAUCCAGCCAUGCCGCGUGAGUGAAGAAGGCCUUCGGGUUGUAAAGCUCUUUCGGCCGGGAAGAAAUCGCAUGGGUUAAUACCCUGUGCGGAUGACGGUACCGGCAUAAGAAGCACCGGCUAACUACGUG
Molecule: ribosomal RNA, 501 nt
Filed under: uncultured bacterium
Lineage: Bacteria
Description: bacterial SSU rRNA
Rfam family: Bacterial small subunit ribosomal RNA
Source: RNAcentral